UGGCUGGCACGGAGAAGAGCCCCGUCUGUCAGGGAAACCAGGCCGCAUCUGGCGGGUCCAGCUGCCGUCCCGCCCACGCAGUUGCCAGUGAGGCGGCCAGGAGGAUGCUGAGCUUCCAGAGAGGCGGUUUCCAGUCUGUCCCGGAGCUGAAUCCAGAGCCUGGCCGUCCCCAGGCGAAGCGGGCGGUGCUCAGGCGGCACCAGCUCCGGGAGCUGCGAGGCGAGGAGCAGAGCUGUGCGGGGACGCAGUGACACCGUCGCCGCAGCCGCCGGGCCGCGCGGGUUUCCAUCCUCCGGGCAGGCGCCCGCGUACCGGCCCGCGGUGGAGGGCGAUGUCUGUAGGCCCGCAGGCUGCUCCCUUCCAGCUCUACCUGCUGUAGCCAAACCGAACUGUGAACCUUUUCCGAUGAGAUGUUUGGGUUGGCUCCGUUGCGCCUUCUCCGAGCCCCCUCUCGUGGCUGGAGAAUCCCGCUCCCAGCGCCCUGCGGUGCCUGCCUGGCUCUGCUUUGUGAAGGUGCUGAGGGUCGGUCUCUCCUGGCAGACAGCUGAGCACGGUUUUCAUUCUGAGUGGAGGGGCUGCCCCUCUCCUUCAGGUUAUUUUGCGGUAUCAAGCUGACCAGCGGAGGAUUUGCCUCGAAUUGUUCAUUAGAGGAAUUGCAGAAUGAGCACGCUGCUAAAUGAUCAGUGACAAAUCCCCCAGAGCAGAUGGCGUUUGCUCGUUAGUCUUAAAAAAACCCCAGCAGUUUUCAACAGAGUUCCAGGGAAAACCCCAGGAACUACAGUGCAGUGUACCUGAUACCCCCAGCAUGCAAAUUAUUAGGAACCACUCUAACAGAGUUAGGGGCCACGUUAAGGGCUAUUAAAUACUCAUAGAAAUGCCAGAUCAUGGUUCAUUAGCAGUCUAAACAUGCAAAAAUGGAGUUAGGGAUUACUAGUGUAAGAAUGGUUCAGAGAAGAGCAACAAGGAAAAGGGCUUCGCACAAUGCACAGUUUAGUAGGGAGCUCCUGACAGCAGGGCAGUAAAGAUGCUCGCUGUUGAGGUGGGUUUAAAAGCAACAGGACAAAUUAACAGCGGUAAAUCAAUCAAGAGUCAUAAAUACAAAGUUGCUGUCCUUGGCUGAGAAAGGCCUUUGGCUGCGGGUUGCUGGAGGCUUGGAUCCUUCAACACAUGCUCCUGGCGCCUGCAAGAGAUGGGGGAAUUUUACCCAGGCAUAUUUGGAGAGUUAUCUGCAUUUGUCUAGGAUUCCUGGACAUCUGACUAAGCUUCUGGAUGCUGAGAAGUCCUGCACAGCCACAUCUCAUGUGAACUGACUGUAAAUCACACACUGAUCCCAAAACUUCUGGCAUACAUACCGUUGCUUCUGGGAUGCAGAGCUGCUUUGCACGUGCACAGGUUUGCAUGUGUCCCCAACCUGCAGGAUUCCCUCUGCACACUGGUGGGUCAGUAGAGUGCCUUCCUGGAAACAUCGGCUGUCGUAUGCUUUCUGCAAACUGCUUCUGCUCUGUAGCAAUCGCAGCCAGAAGGAUGGUAGCCCUAUUCCAGAUCUGACUUCUCUUGAAGAUGGAAUAUAUCCCCAGACAAAAAACAAAAUUGGCUGGAAGAGGAGACUGUUGUCUGUGACUACGAGCCUCUUGCCAUCCUUCCAUCAUCUCAGACACCCUGGAUCCUUGACACAUGUGACUACAGUCCCAUCUCUGCUUUCCUAUGAUCUAUUCCUUCAAAUUCAGUCCAGCUCUGGCCUUCCUCCUAUUUCAGCAGUGAGUUUCUGAACAAAAAUUCAUUAUUCCAGGUCUGCUCCCGGGAUGAUCAACGUGAGAACAUAUGGCUUGGCCAGCCCCUGGAUCCUGAGCAAAAACCAUGUCUGUGUGCUCCCAGCAGCUAAUAUCUUUAAGUACCAGUUUCCUUCUUUUCAGUCUGUCUGAAUUUCCUUUAACUGCUCUAUUAUGAAUAACUGCUUUAUUUAUAAAAUAAAAUCGCUUUCUAGAA
Molecule: long non-coding RNA, 1986 nt
Organism: Aquila chrysaetos chrysaetos
Lineage: Eukaryota; Metazoa; Chordata; Aves; Accipitriformes; Accipitridae
Exons: 2
Source: RefSeq, a predicted model, not a curated record